UUUGUUGACUUGUGUAGCAGGACAUCCCAGGUCAGAGUCACAGCCUCUGAGAGCUGUGGUUUCCCUCACUGCUCUGAGGUCUCCUGAAACUUACACAUCUGUGUCUGACCUAGGAAUCUCUAACAAGGUUUGACCUGCGCCUUUAACGUCUGUGUCUGACCUAGGAAUCUCUAACAAGGUUUGACCUGCGCCUUUAACGUCUGUGUCUGACCUGGGAAUCUCUAACAAGGUUUGACCUGCGCCUUUAACGUCUGUGUCUGACCUGGGAAUCUCUAACAAGGUUUGACCUGCGCCUUUAACGUCUGUGUCUGACUUAGGAAUCUCUAACAAGGUUUGACCUGCGCCUUUAACGUCUGUGUCUGACUUAGGAAUCUCUAACAAGGUUUGACCUGUGCCUUUAACGUCUGUGUCUGACUUAGGAAUCUCUAACAAGGUUUGACCUGCGCCUUUAACGUCUGUGUCUGACCUGGGAAUCUCUAACAAGGUUUGACCUGCGCCUUUAACGUCUGUGUCUGACCUGGGAAUCUCUAACAAGGUUUGACCUGCGCCUUUAACGUCUGUGUCUGACCUGGGAAUCUCUAACAAGGUUUGACCUGCGCCUUUCACGUCUGUGUCUGACCUGGGAAUCUCUAACAAGGUUUGACCUGCGCCUUUAACGUCUGUGUCUGACCUGGGAAUCUCUAACAAGGUUUGACCUGCGCCUUUAACGUCUGUGUCUGACCUGGGAAUCUCUAACAAGGUUUGACCUGCGCCUUUAACGUCUGUGUCUGACUUAGGAAUCUCUAACAAGGUUUGACCUGCGCCUUUAACGUCUGUGUCUGACUUAGGAAUCUCUAACAAGGUUUGACCUGUGCCUUUAACGUCUGUGUCUGACUUAGGAAUCUCUAACAAGGUUUGACCUGCGCCUUUAACGUCUGUGUCUGACCUGGGAAUCUCUAACAAGGUUUGACCUGCGCCUUUAACGUCUGUGUCUGACCUGGGAAUCUCUAACAAGGUUUGACCUGCGCCUUUAACGUCUGUGUCUGACCUGGGAAUCUCUAACAAGGUUUGACCUGCGCCUUUAACGUCUGUGUCUGACUUAGGAAUCUCUAACAAGGUUUGACCUGUGCCUUUAACGUCUGUGUCUGACUUAGGAAUCUCUAACAAGGUUUGACCUGCGCCUUUAACGUCUGUGUCUGACCUGGGAAUCUCUAACAAGGUUUGACCUGCGCCUUUAACGUCUGUGUCUGACCUGGGAAUCUCUAACAAGGUUUGACCUGCGCCUUUAACGUCUGACUAGUUCUCUAGUCCUUCUGCUCCACUCCGCAUGCCCACCCUGUUUGUUGGGAGCCUGCCCUGCCCUGAGCCUCCCUCUUUGUGUGACUUGCUUUGCUUUUGUCAAAAUACCUGUCAACUGAAGUUACCACACACUCUAUGCAAGAUAAACCCUAUGGAAUUGGGCACUUUACCACACCCAAGCUUUGCUUGUUCGUUAAUACCUAGAAGAAUCUCCCAUUCAAUGCGAACGAUGAAUAAACUCAACUUAUGAAAGAAUUUUCCUGCAUGAGCUUAGUGGAUGGGAGCUCCUGUGGCUUGCAGAUGUUCAAGUCUGCUCCCCAACAGACUCCACGCUUGGUGCCCACUCCCUUGAUGUUCAGAGAUGAUGGAAGCUCAGCCACGGAACUAGGCUACUGGGCAAAAAGGCCUCUGAAGAAAUUAAGGCCUUUCUUCCUCAGCAUGAGAAGCAGUCAUCAUAAAAGAGAGCCUACAGCUGGACCCCUCCUGGAUUGUUGUACGGCCACAUGAUGUCUUCAUUAUGAGUUUCCCUGGCACAAUGACGCCUUCCUCUACCUCUGCAUCUGUCUGCAAAGUGCCACAGAGACCAGUGACGUUUAUGUUUAGUUCUUUGAACUAAAUAAAGCUCUCAUCUUUCUGAACUACCCAGGCCAAGGCGUUUUGUUUGGGCCGACACAGAAGAAGACAUACCGCACUAAGAAAGUACAAUAUAUCUGAUUUCUAACUAUUGUGUACAUUUGUUUUAACUGCUUUACUGGGCACAGCAUUGUAGAUUUCUAUAGAUACAUGGGCACACGGUCUCCCCUACUUCCUUCAUACAACUCUCUAGAUAUUUGAGCAAUGGGGCAGGGGUAUGCUCAUGUUUAAUAAUGUUAUAUACCAUGGUAAAUGAAGAGCCAUCACUGCUUUGAUUCUCUACCCCCCUUUGUGUGGGAAUUUAAUUUUUAUUAGCAGUUAUGUUAAUAGUCAACAUUAAUAAUUUCAAAGGCAAAAUGGUUGUGUAUUUCAUAGGUUAUUAAUAGGUAUACUCUAUCACAGUAAUUUAUGAAUUACUUUUUGGGCCUCCUUCCAUGGUCCUAUCUUGAAGAUUUUCAAUAAAAGCAAUUAUCAUCUA
Long non-coding RNA from Arvicola amphibius (Eurasian water vole), 2389 nucleotides. RefSeq lists it as uncharacterized. The record is from RefSeq and is a predicted model, not a curated record. Lineage: Eukaryota; Metazoa; Chordata; Mammalia; Rodentia; Cricetidae. The transcript is spliced from 2 exons.